GCGCUGCCUUUGAGCCCCUGGCACGCCUGCGUGUGGCCCCGGGAGUCAGGCUGCAGCGCCAGAGCACAGGCUCAAGCAUUAUUGGGGCCGCCAGCCCCCCUUGCAGGCGGCCUUUUUAACCCGAAGCCACACGC
Sorex araneus (European shrew) is the source of this 134-nucleotide small nucleolar RNA. Lineage: Eukaryota; Metazoa; Chordata; Mammalia; Eulipotyphla; Soricidae. The record is from RefSeq and is a predicted model, not a curated record.